This 22-nucleotide microRNA is filed under the name Ciona intestinalis (vase tunicate). Its description in RNAcentral is "Cin-Mir-92-o78_5p* (star (passenger))". The record is from RNAcentral. Lineage: Eukaryota; Metazoa; Chordata; Ascidiacea; Phlebobranchia; Cionidae.
GGUAUGUUUAGUGUUCAAGAGC